RNAcentral lists this ribosomal RNA (496 nucleotides) under uncultured bacterium. RNAcentral describes it as "partial 16S ribosomal RNA". It matches the Rfam family "Bacterial small subunit ribosomal RNA", at positions 28 to 523 of the family's 1533-position model. The record is from RNAcentral.
GAUGAACGCUAGCGGCAGGCUUAAUACAUGCAAGUCGAGGGAGAAUGGGGCUUCGGCCCCAGGGAACCGGCGCACGGGUGCGUAACGCGUACACAACAUACCUUAUACUGGAGUAUAGCCUCGGGAAACUGGGAGUAAUCCUCCAUAACAUUAUCGGGUGGCAUCACCUGGUAAUUAAAGCUCAGGCGGUAUAAGAUUGGUGUGCGUAUGAUUAGCUAGUUGGUAGGGUAACGGCCUACCAAGGCGACGAUCAUUAGCUGGCGUGAGAGCGCGACCAGCCACACUGGAACUGAGACACGGUUCAGACUCCUACGGGAGGCAGCAGUAGGGAAUAUUGGACAAUGGGCGAAAGCCUGAUCCAGCCAUGCCGCGUGAUGGAUGAAGGCCCUCUGGGUUGUAAACAUCUUUUAUCAGGGAAGAAACACCCCGUUUCUACGGGAUUUGACGGUACCUGAUGAAUAAGCACCGGCUAACUCCGUGCCAGCAGCCGCGGUAA